UCUUUCUAAAGCCUAAAUAGCUUCCCUCACUUUGCAACUCCUCAGUCAGGCACUGUCAAAUCUUUUUUCCAGUAUUCGUAGGACAGUUGUUUUCUACAUUCUCCCUUCUAGAUCCUGUCAUUUUCAUUUUUUCAUCUAUCCAUGAGAUUACUAGUGGUCUCAAUCUCAAGUCCCAUUUAUUUUCUUUAGUAAUCAAAACCCCAAGUUUUAGCUUGGGCCCAUGGCUUCCCAGCUGAAGUCUACAUUAUCCCCAGCUUCCCUUGCAGCUAGCAUUGACUGUGUGAUUAAGCUUUGGCUAGUGAGUGUAAGUGACAUGAAACCUCUGGGUUCUGCCUUUAAAAGGAAAGAUUGUGUCUUCUGAAUAUUUUUCUCAUUUUCUCCCUUGUCAUCUAGAACGCAUACCCACAAGAUGCCAACCAUUUAGCAAAAGGUAGAAGAAACCUGUUGCCUUUGGAUAACAAUAGUACCAUUGAACUGCUCAUGUCCUAGUACAUGAGAGGACUUGUUCAAGUGAUUGCUAUUAGUCUGAAUCUUUGUUAUAGCUGCUAGCUGCUGAUUUAGUAUAUCCUAACUGAUACAUGUUCUUCCCCAGAAUGCAUUUCUCUCUUUGUUCUUAACAAAAUUUUCAUUGUUGAAGAUUCAGAAAAGUUCCUACUGUUCUUUCCAGCUUAUAUUACUCUCUUUCCAUCAACUGCCAUUGUUCAUGACCAGGCAUGAGGUCUGAUUAUAGUGUGGACUGAUAUGAUUCCAGCAACCACACAUAAAAAUAAGACUGGUUUCUUUACAGUCGCUUAAAGAAAAAUUGCUUCUGAAAUUAUGAAGAAUAGAUCAUAAAAGCUGUAGGAAUUCAGAGAUGGGGCAAUUGGUGAGGACUGAAGGAUGAGAAGAUGCUGUAUAUUGAAGCAGUGUCAAACUGAAGAACGGAUACAGGAUGGCUUCCCAAGGAGUCUGUGGGGAAAAAUUUCAAGGGAACCAAUUUGCUAUUACUCAUCUCCUGCAUCUUUCCUAAAACUCCUCUUCCUGAAAAAGCAGUUGAAGCAGUUCUCCUUUCCUUCCUCCCAUUUCUCAGUCUGUUCUUCCACCUUACAAAAGAAAAGUGUGCUUUUACCCAUACUUCACCUAGUUCAUUGCUCUCUCUAACCCAAGUACAACUGUAGACUUCAUGUCUUCUCUGACUUACAUAUAUUUCUCUUAGGGCAAAACAUGGCUUUGGGAAUGGGUAUUUUAGUCUUUGUGGAAUAUUCAGUGCAUGUAUAUAUAUAUAGUACAGUGGAGCAGUGGGUUUUUAAUUUACAUUACCUAUUCUAACCCCUGACUUUUAUCAAAGAAUACACUGUUUCUUAGGAAGAUUCCCCUUAGAACAAAGCAAAAGAAAUAAUUAGCUAUUAAAAGUGGUACAGCCUUAUUUCAUUCAGGUGACACAUUCAUGGCAAAGUCUAUAUCAUCUAUCUUGGGACCAGGAUACUCAAGAUUUUUAGAAAUGCAUCCCGGGAAGUAAUAAUGUGCUACAAAGUACAAUGCUCCUUCCCUGGUCAGGAAUAAGAAAGAGCUGAGGGGUAUACUCUUCAUUUACUAAUGUCUCACUUGGAUGUCAAUUUUAUAUCGCGCAUUAUUGCUAGAAGUAUAGGGUAAGUAUGUGUUAAUUUUCACAGAUUAACAUCUUUAAAAUGGUUAAUUUUAUGUUCUGUGACUUUCACCUCAAUUUAAAAAAACAAAAGAUUAACUAGCAUCUAGCAGAUGAACUAAAUAAUCUGAUUAUCCUCUCAAAAGUCUAUGUCCAGGCUGCCCACAGAAACUUGAAGAAGAUCUGCUUUGGGCCAAAGCAAAAGAUCUGGGAAGUGACUGCUACUGGCUACCAAGUUUCCUUCUGGUUGAUGCAAGUGUUUCAGAAUGAUAUUGUGAUGACGGUGGCACAACACUGCGAAUAUACUAAAAACCAUUUAAUUUGGUGAAUUUUACUGUACAAGAGUUAUAUCUCAGUGAAGCUAUUUAAAACAAUAAAACAUCUAAGUGAGGUACAUUGAAGACUAUCUUCUUUUGGAACUUCAGUUUCAUCAACCUUGAAGCAAUAAACGGUUUCCCUUUGUACAACUUUUUUGCAGAUGUGGUUACUGUAAUCACACCAUGCUUUUUUUAAUUAAAUUUUCUCCUAAAGGGUCUUAUUUCUAAAAGGAAAAACAAAGUAAAAUACUAAUUUUCAUUUACCUAAGAAACAAACAUAAUGUCAUCUUUGGAUCAUGGGCAAAAAUCCAGAAAAAUUACUUUAGCUUCACUGGUUCUUGUCUAGUAGGAAGUUUCAGUUCAUUUCACAUUCAAAUUAAGUUGAAACAGAUAUAGUUAGAAAAAAAAAUAUUCAAUAUGCUAAGUACAAAUUCAUUCUUAUUUGGGCACAAAUCUCACUGCUAUCCAUUCUCCACCCCCGUCAUUGAUUAAUUUCUAUCAUAUCUUCAUUAUCUAGGCAAAAAUGUGUAAAUUCUGUAAAUAAUGCCCCCAAGUAAUUAUUUUUACACUGCACUUACUAGUCAUAUAAAACCUUCUCUUCUUUUUUCCUAUUUAUUCCCACUCUUAAAAGCUUCUACUUAUGUACCUGGUAAAAAAAUUUCCCCAAAAUGUAAUCUAGGAUACAAUGUCCUGAACUUUUAGGAAACUGUUUCAUUUAAUUAAAAUUAAUUUCUCCAGAUGAUGACAUGUUCUUUUAAUGAUGUCAAGUGCAUAAUUUUAAACUUGUAUAAAUCUUGAAAUGAAAUUACAAACCUGUAUGUAAUAUUUUUACAAUACCAAUUUCUGCCCAUCUUUAAUGUCUUAAGGGAUUUGAACAUAGCCUAAAUAAUUGAAAUAGGUCUUUGUUUACAGUCAACAAACUUUGUCUUACUGGAUGAUGAGCCACCAAAGAGACUUAACUAAAAUGAUAAAAAGGAAGAAACAGACAGCCUUAUGUCUGACUCAUCCUGCCUUUCUUCACCCUGGUCAGGACUCUAUCAGAAAAACAUCAGAACAAAGAGGGAAACAGAGGGUCGCUGAAGCUCCAUGACUUGAUCUAAGUUCCUGUUACCCAAUCUGGAGGCAGCCACGGAGAAAACAGCCAGUGGAGAAUUCGCACAGCAGAGAGGGGCAGCGCACCCCGAGGCCCGCCCCUCUCCCGUGGACCCCAGAGUGUCACCGCACCACUCACCUGUACGCUCUCUGCCAGCUCCUCCAGGCGGGGCC
Long non-coding RNA from Phyllostomus discolor (pale spear-nosed bat), 3207 nucleotides. RefSeq lists it as uncharacterized. The record is from RefSeq and is a predicted model, not a curated record. NCBI's taxonomy places the organism in Eukaryota, Metazoa, Chordata, Mammalia, Chiroptera, Phyllostomidae. The transcript has 3 exons.